GAUGAACGCUGGCGGCGUGCUUAACACAUGCAAGUCGAACGGAAAGGCCCAAGCUUGCUUGGGUACUCGAGUGGCGAACGGGUGAGUAACACGUGGGUGAUCUGCCCUGCACUUCGGGAUAAGCCUGGGAAACUGGGUCUAAUACCGGAUAGGACGAUGGUUUGGAUGCCAUUGUGGAAAGUUUUUUCGGUGUGGGAUGAGCUCGCGGCCUAUCAGCGUGUUGGUGGGGUAUUGGCCUACCAAGGCGUCGACGGGUAGCCGGCCUGAGAGGGGGUAGGGCCACAUUGGGACUGAGAGACGGCCCAGACUCCUACGGGAGGCAGCAGUGGGGAAUAUUGCACAAUGGGCGCAAGCCUGAGGCAGCGACGCCGCGUGGGGGAUGACGGCCUUCGGGUUGUAAACUCCUUUCGCUAGGGAAGAAGCGUUUUUGUGACGGUACCUGGAGAAGAAGCACCGGCUAACUACGUG
Molecule: ribosomal RNA, 468 nt
Filed under: uncultured bacterium
Lineage: Bacteria
Description: partial 16S ribosomal RNA
Rfam family: Bacterial small subunit ribosomal RNA
Source: RNAcentral